GGAUGAACGCUGGCGGCGUGCCUAAUACAUGCAAGUCGAGCGAAUGGAUUAAGAGCUUGCUYUUAUGAAGUUAGCGGCGGACGGGUGAGUAACACGUAGGCAACCUGCCCUUAAGUCUGGGACAACUCCCGGAAACGGUGGCUAAUACCGAAUAAUAUUUUUCUUCGCCUGGUUGAAAAUGGAAAGGCGGAUUCGUCUGUCACUUAGGGAUGGGCCUGCGGCGCAUUAGCUAGUUGGUGAGGUAACGGCUCACCAAGGCGACGAUGCGUAGCCGACCUGAGAGGGUGAUCGGCCACACUGGGACUGAGACACGGCCCAGACUCCUACGGGAGGCAGCAGUAGGGAAUCUUCCGCAAUGGGCGAAAGUCUGACGGAGCAACGCCGCGUGAGUGAUGAAGGCUUUCGGGUCGUAAAGCUCUGUUGUUAGGGAAGAACACUUGGGAGAGUAACUGCUCUCAAGGUGACGGUACCUGAGAAGAAAGCCCCGGCUAACUAC
This 496-nucleotide ribosomal RNA is filed under the name Paenibacillus amylolyticus. RNAcentral's name for it is "bacterial SSU rRNA". It matches the Rfam family "Bacterial small subunit ribosomal RNA", at positions 27 to 504 of the family's 1533-position model. The record is from RNAcentral. Lineage: Bacteria; Bacillati; Bacillota; Bacilli; Caryophanales; Paenibacillaceae.